GCCAUUGAAUGUCUUCUUUAGAAAAAAUGUCCAUUUAGUUCCACUGCCCAUUUUUAAAUCAGGCUCCUUGAUAUUUGUUAUGAAGUUGCAAGCGCUCAUUAAAUACAUUAGAUCAUAACUUCUUAUCUGAUGAAUGGAUUGGAACUAUUUUCUCCCAUUCUGUAGGCUUCUUUUCAUUUUUUUUAAUUGUUUUUUGCUGUAUAGAAGCUUUUUACUUUAAUGUAUUCCCGCUUGUUGAUUUUUGUUUCUGUUGCUUGUGCUUGUGGUGUCAUAUCAAAAAAAUCAUUGCCAAGAUCAGUGUCAAGGAGCUUUGCCUCUAUUUUUUCUUCUAAGAGUUUUAUGAGUUUAGUUCUUAUGUUAAAAUCUUUAACUCAUUUCGGGUUAAGUUUUGUGAGCAGUGUAAGUAACGGGUCUGGAGUUUUCUCUGCUUUUGUGGCUAGAUCUGCUGCACUCUUCUUGCUCCCUCUUGUGGCUGAAAUCCUAAACUAUUCUGUGUUCUCUGGUUUUUGUCGCUCACCAGGCUGGCUACUGGAAAUCUCUUUUUUGUUUUCCAGAAGGUGGCACUACUGCUCACGUUUGUGGUUUCUCCCUUUUCCAUAGGCUGUUUCCUUUUUUUCUGAGAGCACUCAGUUUACCAGAUUUUCUCUCCCUGCUACAUUCAGGAAUGUACACAAGGAGCCAGCUGCAGAUGAGGAGGAGGUGUGGAUUUAACAAUGGGAGCUUGUUGGUUCGCAUGGAUCUGGAGGGGAGAUGCUCUGUUGUGAACUGGCUUUCCAUUUCAGGAAGACUGGGCUUCAACAAAGUCUCUCUCAUUCAUGGUUGUCAUCACACUCUCCAGGCGUUAUGUGGCCAUAAUCAAGAUGGUUUUAGGAAGGUUAUUGGCUCCUUCUGGUUCUGCAUCCCAUACAAAGAUCUGUCUGCCUAUUACUGGAUGCACAGAUGAUAUCAAGCAAGUCCAUGUAAGCAGAUAGAAAUCACUCAUCUGUGGUCAUGUUUGUUCUUCUGGGACUCUAAGAUGAAAAAGAGGUGCAGCUUGUCCUCUUCCCAAUCUUUCUAGGUAUCUAUCUUGUGACCCUAAUCUGGAAUCUGGGUGUCAUCAUCCUAAUCAAGAUGGACUCACACCUGCACGCACCUAUGUACAUUUUCUCAGUUUCCUGUCAUUUAUAG
Equus caballus (horse) is the source of this 1167-nucleotide long non-coding RNA. RefSeq lists it as uncharacterized. NCBI's taxonomy places the organism in Eukaryota, Metazoa, Chordata, Mammalia, Perissodactyla, Equidae. The record is from RefSeq and is a predicted model, not a curated record.